CGAAGGGUGCAAGCGUUACUCGGAAUUACUGGGCGUAAAGCGUGCGUAGGUGGUUGUUUAAGUCUGUUGUGAAAGCCCUGGGCUCAACCUGGGAAUUGCAGUGGAUACUGGGCGACUAGAGUGUGGUAGAGGGUAGUGGAAUUCCCGGUGUAGCAGUGAAAUGCGUAGAGAUCGGGAGGAACAUCCAUGGCGAAGGCAGCUACCUGGACCAACACUGACACUGAGGCACGAAAGCGUGGGGAGCAAACAGGAUUAGAUACCCUGGUAGUCCACGCCCUAAACGAUGCGAACUGGAUGUUGGGUGCAAUUUGGCACGCAGUAUCGAAGCUAACGCGUUAGGUUCGCCGCCUGGGGAGUACGGUCGCAAGACUG
RNAcentral lists this ribosomal RNA (372 nucleotides) under uncultured organism. RNAcentral's name for it is "bacterial SSU rRNA". It matches the Rfam family "Bacterial small subunit ribosomal RNA", at positions 526 to 896 of the family's 1533-position model. The record is from RNAcentral.